This 495-nucleotide ribosomal RNA is filed under the name uncultured bacterium. RNAcentral's name for it is "partial 16S ribosomal RNA". It matches the Rfam family "Bacterial small subunit ribosomal RNA", at positions 28 to 507 of the family's 1533-position model. The record is from RNAcentral.
GACGAACGCUGGCGGCGUGCCUAAUACAUGCAAGUAGAACGCUGAAGGAGGAGCUUGCUUCUCCGGAUGAGUUGCGAACGGGUGAGUAACGCGUAGGUAACCUGCCUGGUAGCGGGGGAUAACUAUUGGAAACGAUAGCUAAUACCGCAUAAGAGUAGAUGUCGCAUGACAUUUGCUUAAAAGGUGCAACUGCACCACUACCAGAUGGACCUGCGUUGUAUUAGCUAGUUGGUGAGGUAACGGCUCACCAAGGCAACGAUACAUAGCCGACCUGAGAGGGUGAUCGGCCACACUGGGACUGAGACACGGCCCAGACUCCUACGGGAGGCAGCAGUAGGGAAUCUUCGGCAAUGGACGGAAGUCUGACCGAGCAACGCCGCGUGAGUGAAGAAGGUUUUCGGAUCGUAAAGCUCUGUUGUAAGAGAAGAACGAGUGUGAGAGUGGAAAGUUCACACUGUGACGGUAUCUUACCAGAAAGAGACGGCUAACUACGUG